GAUGAACGCUAGCUACAGGCUUAACACAUGCAAGUCGCGGGGCAGCAUGGGGGUUGCUUGCAACUCCCGAUGGCGACCGGCGCACGGGUGAGUAACGCGUAUCCAACCUGCCCUUCACCACGGGAUAACCCGGCGAAAGUCGGACUAAUACCGUAUGUUGUCCAUUGACGGCAUCCGAUUUGGACGAAAGGCUUUGCGGUGAAGGAUGGGGAUGCGUCCGAUUAGCCAGACGGCGGGGUAACGGCCCACCGUGGCUACGAUCGGUAGGGGUUCUGAGAGGAAGGUCCCCCACGCUGGAACUGAGACACGGUCCAGACUCCUACGGGAGGCAGCAGUGAGGAAUAUUGGUCAAUGGGCGUAAGCCUGAACCAGCCAAGUAGCGUGCAGGAUGACGGCCCUAUGGGUUGUAAACUGCUUUUAUGCGGGGAUAAAGUGGCCCACGUGUGGGCUUUUGCAGGUACCGCAUGAAUAAGGACCGGCUAAUUCCGUG
This 490-nucleotide ribosomal RNA is filed under the name uncultured bacterium. RNAcentral describes it as "partial 16S ribosomal RNA". It matches the Rfam family "Bacterial small subunit ribosomal RNA", at positions 28 to 507 of the family's 1533-position model. The record is from RNAcentral.